Molecule: non-coding RNA, 24 nt
Filed under: Arabidopsis thaliana (thale cress)
Lineage: Eukaryota; Viridiplantae; Streptophyta; Magnoliopsida; Brassicales; Brassicaceae
Source: RNAcentral
UUUGGAGCAUAUUGCUUUAGGCAA